CCUCUCGAUAGCUCAGUUGGUAGAGCGGAGGACUGUAGGUUGAUAAGUGUGGCAUCCUUAGGUCGCUGGUUCAACCUCGCCCGAAGGA
RNAcentral lists this transfer RNA (88 nucleotides) under Perca fluviatilis (European perch). RNAcentral describes it as "tRNA-Tyr". Lineage: Eukaryota; Metazoa; Chordata; Actinopteri; Perciformes; Percidae. The record is from RNAcentral.